Molecule: transfer RNA, 72 nt
Filed under: Clunio marinus
Lineage: Eukaryota; Metazoa; Arthropoda; Insecta; Diptera; Chironomidae
Description: tRNA-Asp
Source: RNAcentral
AAUUAUUAAUUUUUUUUUAAUAUUUUUUUAUUCCUCAAAUAGCACCAAUAAGUUGAUUAGUUUUAUUUUUAU